GUGGGGAAUAUUGGACAAUGGGCGAAAGCCUGAUCCAGCCAUGCCGCGUGUGUGAAGAAGGUCUUCGGAUUGUAAAGCACUUUAAGUUGGGAGGAAGGGCAGUAAGUUAAUACCUUGCUGUUUUGACGUUACCGACAGAAUAAGCACCGGCUAACUUCGUGCCAGCAGCCGCGGUAAUACGAAGGGUGCAAGCGUUAAUCGGAAUUACUGGGCGUAAAGCGCGCGUAGGUGGUUUUGUAAGUUGGAGGUGACAUCCCCGGGCUCAACCUGGGAACUGCCUCCAAAACUGCAUGGCUAGAGUACGGUAGAGGGUAGUGGAAUUUCCUGUGUAGCGGUGAAAUGCGUAGAUAUAGGAAGGAACACCAGUGGCGAAGGCGACUACCUGGACUGAUACUGACACUGAGGUGCGAAAGCGUGGGGAGCAAACAGGAUUAGAUACCCCAGUAGUCC
Molecule: ribosomal RNA, 450 nt
Filed under: uncultured bacterium
Lineage: Bacteria
Description: partial 16S ribosomal RNA
Rfam family: Bacterial small subunit ribosomal RNA
Source: RNAcentral